AAAUAUUUUAAAAAAUGCUUGAAAAAUGACUAUCGGAACUCUUUUGCAAAAUCUUCCGGUACACAAAAAUUGACUAUCGGAACUCUUUUGCAAAGUCUUCCGGUAUAAAAAAUAAUAUUGAAAAAAUGCUUAAAAAUUGACAACCGAAACUCUUUUGUAAAGUCUUCCGGUACACAUUUUUUUUUAAAAUAAAAAAAAAUAAAAAAUGAAAAAUUAAUUUAAAAUAUAUAAGGAUAAAA
This 239-nucleotide long non-coding RNA is filed under the name Lathyrus oleraceus (garden pea). RNAcentral's name for it is "Pisum sativum (pea) long non-coding RNA (PSAT_LNC021448)". The record is from RNAcentral. Lineage: Eukaryota; Viridiplantae; Streptophyta; Magnoliopsida; Fabales; Fabaceae.